CGUGCAGGCGGUUUGGUAAGUUGGGCGUGAAAGCUCCCGGCUCAACUGGGAGAGGUCGUCCAAAACUACCAGACUAGAGAGCGAUAGAGGAAAAUGGAAUUCCCGGUGUAGUGGUGAAAUGCGUAGAUAUUGGGAGGAACACCAGUGGCGAAGGCGAUUUUCUGGAUCGUUUCUGACGCUCAGACGCGAAAGCUAGGGUAGCAAACG
This 207-nucleotide ribosomal RNA is filed under the name uncultured bacterium. Its description in RNAcentral is "partial 16S ribosomal RNA". It matches the Rfam family "Bacterial small subunit ribosomal RNA", at positions 568 to 774 of the family's 1533-position model. The record is from RNAcentral.